RNAcentral lists this transfer RNA (66 nucleotides) under Zemeros flegyas. RNAcentral's name for it is "tRNA-Ala". It matches the Rfam family "tRNA". From Rfam's summary of the family: Transfer RNA (tRNA) molecules are approximately 80 nucleotides in length. Their secondary structure includes four short double-helical elements and three loops (D, anti-codon, and T loops). Further hydrogen bonds mediate the characteristic L-shaped molecular structure. tRNAs have two regions of fundamental functional importance: the anti-codon, which is responsible for specific mRNA codon recognition, and the 3' end, to which the tRNAs corresponding amino acid is attached (by aminoacyl-tRNA synthetases). tRNAs cope with the degeneracy of the genetic code in two manners: having more than one tRNA (with a specific anti-codon) for a particular amino acid; and 'wobble' base-pairing, i.e. permitting non-standard base-pairing at the 3rd anti-codon position. Lineage: Eukaryota; Metazoa; Arthropoda; Insecta; Lepidoptera; Riodinidae. The record is from RNAcentral.
AGGAUUAUAGUUUAUAAAAACAUUUGAUUUGCAAUCAAAAAUUAUUGAAUUACUCAAUUUAUCUUA